GACCUUGUUGCUAAGUUGGCUAAAGUGGUGGCUUACUAAAGCCUUCCCCUUGUUGGCGUGGGUUCAAAUCACACCAAGGCCA
RNAcentral lists this transfer RNA (82 nucleotides) under Schistocephalus solidus. It matches the Rfam family "tRNA". From Rfam's summary of the family: Transfer RNA (tRNA) molecules are approximately 80 nucleotides in length. Their secondary structure includes four short double-helical elements and three loops (D, anti-codon, and T loops). Further hydrogen bonds mediate the characteristic L-shaped molecular structure. tRNAs have two regions of fundamental functional importance: the anti-codon, which is responsible for specific mRNA codon recognition, and the 3' end, to which the tRNAs corresponding amino acid is attached (by aminoacyl-tRNA synthetases). tRNAs cope with the degeneracy of the genetic code in two manners: having more than one tRNA (with a specific anti-codon) for a particular amino acid; and 'wobble' base-pairing, i.e. permitting non-standard base-pairing at the 3rd anti-codon position. Lineage: Eukaryota; Metazoa; Platyhelminthes; Cestoda; Diphyllobothriidea; Diphyllobothriidae. The record is from Rfam by way of RNAcentral.